Molecule: small nucleolar RNA, 68 nt
Organism: Puntigrus tetrazona (Sumatra barb)
Lineage: Eukaryota; Metazoa; Chordata; Actinopteri; Cypriniformes; Cyprinidae
Product: small nucleolar RNA SNORD30
Exons: 1
Source: RefSeq, a predicted model, not a curated record
ACGUAUGAUUAUUUUCUUGGAAUCUCGUUCGUCUGAAAUCCUGUUGAUAAAUUUUAUUAAUGACGUUA